UAUAGCUCAGCUGGGAGAGCGCUUGCAUGGCAUGCAAGAGGUCAGCGGUUCGAUCCCGUUUUAUGCG
RNAcentral lists this transfer RNA (67 nucleotides) under Escherichia coli. RNAcentral's name for it is "tRNA-Ala". The stretch from base 2 to 61 matches the Rfam family "tRNA", at positions 7 to 64 of the family's 71-position model. From Rfam's summary of the family: Transfer RNA (tRNA) molecules are approximately 80 nucleotides in length. Lineage: Bacteria; Pseudomonadati; Pseudomonadota; Gammaproteobacteria; Enterobacterales; Enterobacteriaceae. The record is from RNAcentral.